GGUCUUCGGACGCUGACGAGUGGCGAACGGGUGAGUAAUACAUCGGAACGUGCCCAGUCGUGGGGGAUAACUACUCGAAAGAGUAGCUAAUACCGCAUACGAUCUGAGGAUGAAAGCGGGGGACCUUCGGGCCUCGCGCGAUUGGAGCGGCCGAUGGCAGAUUAGGUAGUUGGUGGGAUAAAAGCUUACCAAGCCGACGAUCUGUAGCUGGUCUGAGAGGACGACCAGCCACACUGGGACUGAGACACGGCCCAGACUCCUACGGGAGGCAGCAGUGGGGAAUUUUGGACAAUGGGCGAAAGCCUGAUCCAGCAAUGCCGCGUGCAGGAUGAAGGCCUUCGGGUUGUAAACUGCUUUUGUACGGAACGAAAAAGCUCCUUCUAAUACAGGGGGCCCAUGACGGUACCGUAAGAAUAAGCACCGGCUAACUACGUGCCAGCAGCCGCGGUAA
Molecule: ribosomal RNA, 451 nt
Filed under: Delftia tsuruhatensis
Lineage: Bacteria; Pseudomonadati; Pseudomonadota; Betaproteobacteria; Burkholderiales; Comamonadaceae
Description: bacterial SSU rRNA
Rfam family: Bacterial small subunit ribosomal RNA
Source: RNAcentral